This 253-nucleotide ribosomal RNA is filed under the name uncultured bacterium. RNAcentral describes it as "partial 16S ribosomal RNA". It matches the Rfam family "Bacterial small subunit ribosomal RNA", at positions 524 to 776 of the family's 1533-position model. The record is from RNAcentral.
UACGAAGGGUGCAAGCGUUAAUCGGAAUUACUGGGCGUAAACCGCGCGUAGGUGGUUCAGUAAGUUGGAAGUGAAAUCCGCGGGCUCAACCUGGGAACUGCUUUCAAAACUGCUGAGCUAGAGUACGGUAGAGGGUGGUGGAAUUUCCUGUGUAGCGGUGAAAUGCGUAGAUAUAGGAAGGAACACCAGUGGCGAAGGCGACCACCUGGACUGAUACUGACACUGAGGUGCGAAAGCGUGGGGAGCAAACAGG